UACCGGUUCUCGUUAGAUCACCGAAGUCAAGCAUCAUUGGGCGCGGUCAGUACUUUGGUGGGUGACCACCUGGGAACACUGCGUGCCGU
Non-coding RNA from Caerostris darwini, 89 nucleotides. Lineage: Eukaryota; Metazoa; Arthropoda; Arachnida; Araneae; Araneidae. The record is from the annotation of a GenBank genome assembly.